This 370-nucleotide ribosomal RNA is filed under the name uncultured organism. Its description in RNAcentral is "partial 16S ribosomal RNA". It matches the Rfam family "Bacterial small subunit ribosomal RNA", at positions 527 to 896 of the family's 1533-position model. The record is from RNAcentral.
GUAGGUGGCAAGCGUUGUCCGGAAUUAUUGGGCGUAAAGCGCGCGCAGGCGGUUCUUUAAGUCUGAUGUGAAAGCCCACGGCUCAACCGUGGAGGGUCAUUGGAAACUGGAGAACUUGAGUACAGAAGAGGAAAGCGGAAUUCCACGUGUAGCGGUGAAAUGCGUAGAGAUGUGGAGGAACACCAGUGGCGAAGGCGGCUUUCUGGUCUGUAACUGACGCUGAGGCGCGAAAGCUGGGGGAGCAAACAGGAUUAGAUACCCUGGUAGUCCACGCCGUAAACGAUGAGUGCUAAGUGUUAGGGGGUUUCCGCCCCUUAGUGCUGCAGCUAACGCAUUAAGCACUCCGCCUGGGAGUACGGCCGCAAGGCUG